This 141-nucleotide unclassified non-coding RNA is filed under the name soil metagenome. RNAcentral describes it as "partial internal transcribed spacer 1". The record is from RNAcentral.
UAAUAAGUGUUUAUGGCACUUCUUAAAUCCAUAUCCACCUUGUGUGCAAUGUCAGCCGUUUUCUCUUUACGAAAGCGGCCAAACAUCAACUUAUUUUUUAACUGUCUGUCUGAAAACUAUUAUGAAUAAACAAUUCAAAUA